This 512-nucleotide ribosomal RNA is filed under the name Thalassodrilides bruneti. RNAcentral's name for it is "partial 16S ribosomal RNA". It matches the Rfam family "Bacterial large subunit ribosomal RNA", at positions 1806 to 2611 of the family's 2925-position model. The record is from RNAcentral. Lineage: Eukaryota; Metazoa; Annelida; Clitellata; Tubificida; Naididae.
UCAAAAAACAUUGUCAUUUGACAUACCUAUAAAUGAUAAGUCCUGCCCAAUGAAACAUUUCAAUGGCCGCGGUACCCUGACCGUGCAAAGGUAGCAUAAUCAUUUGCCUAUUAAUUGUAGGCUAGAAUGAAGGGAUAAACGAAAUCAUAUCUGUCUCUCUUAAGAACCUAAAACCUAAUCUCCAGAUGAAGAAGUCUGGAUAUCAUUGAAGGACAAGAAGACCCUAUAGAGCUUUACCUUUAUUUUUCUCAAUUAAGUAAAAAACGGUUCGGUUGGGGCGACUAAGGAGAAUUACUAACCUCCUAUAAAAAAAUAGACCUACCAGUCAUUAUCAAGAUCCUUAUUUAAGAUCACAGAAACAAGCUACCUUAGGGAUAACAGGCUAAUUUUCUUUGAGAGCCCUUAUUAACAAGAAAGAUUGGCACCUCGAUGUUGGCUUAGGAUCUCUCUAUGGUGUAGCAGCCAUAGAUAGAUGGUUUGUUCAACCAUUAAAUUCCUACGUGAUCUGAGUU